Molecule: ribosomal RNA, 598 nt
Filed under: Fusarium sp. SGLAf73
Lineage: Eukaryota; Fungi; Ascomycota; Sordariomycetes; Hypocreales; Nectriaceae
Description: eukaryotic LSU rRNA
Rfam family: Eukaryotic large subunit ribosomal RNA
Source: RNAcentral
AAUGUUGACCUCGGAUCAGGUAGGAAUACCCGCUGAACUUACAACAGGGAUUGCCCUAGUAACGGCGAGUGAAGCGGCAACAGCUCAAAUUUGAAAUCUGGCUCUCGGGCCCGAGUUGUAAUUUGUAGAGGAUACUUUUGAUGCGGUGCCUUCCGAGUUCCCUGGAACGGGACGCCAUAGAGGGUGAGAGCCCCGUCUGGUUGGAUGCCAAAUCUCUGUAAAGUUCCUUCGACGAGUCGAGUAGUUUGGGAAUGCUGCUCUAAAUGGGAGGUAUAUGUCUUCUAAAGCUAAAUACCGGCCAGAGACCGAUAGCGCACAAGUAGAGUGAUCGAAAGAUGAAAAGCACUUUGAAAAGAGGGUUAAAUAGCACGUGAAAUUGUUGAAAGGGAAGCGUUUGCGACCAGACCUUUUCCUAGCGGAUCAACCGGUGUUCUCACCGGUGCACUUCGCUAGGUUUAGGCCAGCAUCGGUUUCUGUAGGGGGAUAAAAGCUCUGGGAACGUAGCUCCUCCGGGAGUGUUAUAGCCCUCUGCAUAAUACCCUUACGGGGACCGAGGACCGCGCUUCGGCAAGGAUGCUGGCGUAAUGGUCGUCAACGA